RNAcentral lists this long non-coding RNA (71 nucleotides) under Chinchilla lanigera (long-tailed chinchilla). RNAcentral's name for it is "H19 conserved region 1 (ENSCLAG00000020446.1)". It matches the Rfam family "H19 conserved region 1". The record is from RNAcentral. Lineage: Eukaryota; Metazoa; Chordata; Mammalia; Rodentia; Chinchillidae.
GAGGCACCGAUCACUGCUCCGUCGUCACCCGCGAGGCCCACCGCGGCCACAGGCUCUGGAGGCCAGUGCCU